UCCCCAGUGGCUCAGUGGUAAAGAAUCUGCCUGCAAUGCAGGAGACCUGGGUUCGAUCCCUGGAUCAGGAA
Molecule: transfer RNA, 71 nt
Filed under: Capra hircus (goat)
Lineage: Eukaryota; Metazoa; Chordata; Mammalia; Artiodactyla; Bovidae
Also listed under: 1 other name
Rfam family: tRNA
About the family: Transfer RNA (tRNA) molecules are approximately 80 nucleotides in length. Their secondary structure includes four short double-helical elements and three loops (D, anti-codon, and T loops).
Source: Rfam by way of RNAcentral